RNAcentral lists this long non-coding RNA (266 nucleotides) under Lathyrus oleraceus (garden pea). Its description in RNAcentral is "Pisum sativum (pea) long non-coding RNA (PSAT_LNC000962)". The record is from RNAcentral. Lineage: Eukaryota; Viridiplantae; Streptophyta; Magnoliopsida; Fabales; Fabaceae.
AGGGAGGAAAUGAAAGAUUAUGGGAUAUUUUGAGUGGCAGUUAGAAGGGUAUUUUGGAAUUUUAGAUUUUUCGUAUGAGAGAUAAAACGUUGUUUGAGGGUUUAGUGAGAGACAAAAAAUUUAGCUUUUUUUCCUUCGCUUGCCUUUCAUUUUGUCAAGUACCAUAAACAUAUUUAAAAUCAAACAUAGUAUUGGAGUUCAACAUUGAACCUCCAUUGAUGCACAAAAAUUGAAUAAGAUGAAGAAGAAUUGCAAAAAGAAAAAAG